This 396-nucleotide ribosomal RNA is filed under the name Phylloscopus tenellipes (pale-legged leaf-warbler). RNAcentral's name for it is "Seicercus tenellipes (pale-legged leaf-warbler) partial 12S ribosomal RNA". It matches the Rfam family "Bacterial small subunit ribosomal RNA", at positions 794 to 1384 of the family's 1533-position model. The record is from RNAcentral. Lineage: Eukaryota; Metazoa; Chordata; Aves; Passeriformes; Phylloscopidae.
GCCUGGCCCUAAAUCUUGAUGCUCGAUCUUACCGGAGCAUCCGCCCGAGAACUACGAGCACCAACGCUUAAAACUCUAAGGACUUGGCGGUGUUCCAAACCCACCUAGAGGAGCCUGUUCUAUAAUCGAUGAUCCACGAUAUACCUGACCAUUCCUUGCCAAAUCAGCCUAUAUACCGCCGUCGCCAGCCCACCCCGCAUGAAGGCCCAACAGUGGACGCAAUAGCCCUACCGCGCUAAUACGACAGGUCAAGGUAUAGCCUAUGGAAUGGAGGCAAUGGGCUACAUUUUCUAAGUUAGAACAUAACGGCAAAGGGAUAUGAAACUGUCCCUGGAAGGAGGAUUUAGCAGUAAAGUGGGACAAUCGAGCCCUCUUUAAGCCGGCCCUGGAGCACGU